AUGAACCUGAACAGAGUCCCUGGUAGGGCACAAGGAGAUUCACCUUGGCCAGCAAUACACAUGGUCCAGUUAUUCAAGGAGCCAGAUUUUCUCUGGAGGGAUGGGGGCUGCAUUAUGCAGAGACCCGCCCUGGGCAGUUGGAAGAACACACUGCUUUGCAAACUGUUGCUGAGCCUGAGUAUUUCCAAGCCUUCCAAAACCCUUGGUACAGUCUGUCCUCACAUUGCCAACUGAGGGAAUAAGCCUGAAUACUUGGUCCCCCACAUACUCCACUGAGGAAGCUCAUCAUAUUCCAGUGUCAUUCUGAAAGAAAGAUUCUCAACUAUACAUUUAGCAAUCAUCACCAAUCUGACAAAGUUGACCUGAAUCUGUCUUCAAAAAUUCUGAAGAAAAAAUGAAUGGAAAUUGGAAGUUAUAAUUUUACCAAUAUCAAGCCAAAGAUAGACAUGUUUCAUCUUCAUUUACAUCAAGCUUUUAGCCUCCAAAAUUUUAAAACCAUUUCUAAUGUUACCUCCAUCAUUUAGCAAUCAAAAUUUUAGGGAGUUUACUUGAAACCCAAGUUGAGUUUGGAAGUUUGACUCAUUUGAUGUGGCCUAGUUAAAUACAGCAAUUCCUUUCUUUUUGCCACAGGAGGCAGCUUGGGGUAGACAAUUUGGGUCUGUCUGAUAGCAAAGACCUGAGUUUGAAUCUUGACUGACAAUUGUUCAGUAGCUAUGUUACUUUCAGAAGGCUUUUAACCCCUCUAAUCCUCAGCUUCAUAAUUUGUAAAAUGGGUAUUGUAAGACCAACAGCAUGUAAUCGUAAUGAGUCUGGCAUAAAGUAAAUGCCAAUCCUGUAAAAUGCUAAUCCUGUUUUUUAAUCUAAUUAGAUGUCUAAUUUUAAUUUUAAAUGAAGUUAAGCAGGAUGUCUUUUUUCCGUUUUUAAUAUUUUUAAAGCUGGGAGGAAGAAUCUUUGAAGGCAAGUUUGUUUUUCAAGUUUGUGAAGAGUUACACAAAUGAUUCUAGAGUAAAAUGGCCUUAUACCAAAUGUUUUACCUACUCAUAGUGCCAAAUAUCCACAAUGUCAAACAAGAACUCCAAGUGUUCUCAGCUUUAAUUUCACACCAAUGCCACUUUAACAAAACAGUCUCCUUAGCAGGGUACUUCAGUGCUGAAUCAGUAUUGACUCAGAGGUUUAUAAAUACCACCACUUGUAUUACUUGGAGUUUUCUUUAGUGGUUCCCUUUCGCCCUCUCUAAGUUCAGUUAAGCCUGACCCUGCAAAGGGAGUAAUAU
This 1273-nucleotide long non-coding RNA is filed under the name Papio anubis (olive baboon). RNAcentral's name for it is "lncRNA (ENSPANG00000037097.1)". The record is from RNAcentral. Lineage: Eukaryota; Metazoa; Chordata; Mammalia; Primates; Cercopithecidae.